RNAcentral lists this ribosomal RNA (1415 nucleotides) under Staphylococcus aureus. Its description in RNAcentral is "bacterial SSU rRNA". It matches the Rfam family "Bacterial small subunit ribosomal RNA". Lineage: Bacteria; Bacillati; Bacillota; Bacilli; Caryophanales; Staphylococcaceae. The record is from RNAcentral.
UAAGACUGGGAUAACUUCGGGAAACCGGAGCUAAUACCGGAUAAUAUUUUGAACCGCAUGGUUCAAAAGUGAAAGACGGUCUUGCUGUCACUUAUAGAUGGAUCCGCGCUGCAUUAGCUAGUUGGUAAGGUAACGGCUUACCAAGGCAACGAUGCAUAGCCGACCUGAGAGGGUGAUCGGCCACACUGGAACUGAGACACGGUCCAGACUCCUACGGGAGGCAGCAGUAGGGAAUCUUCCGCAAUGGGCGAAAGCCUGACGGAGCAACGCCGCGUGAGUGAUGAAGGUCUUCGGAUCGUAAAACUCUGUUAUUAGGGAAGAACAUAUGUGUAAGUAACUGUGCACAUCUUGACGGUACCUAAUCAGAAAGCCACGGCUAACUACGUGCCAGCAGCCGCGGUAAUACGUAGGUGGCAAGCGUUAUCCGGAAUUAUUGGGCGUAAAGCGCGCGUAGGCGGUUUUUUAAGUCUGAUGUGAAAGCCCACGGCUCAACCGUGGAGGGUCAUUGGAAACUGGAAAACUUGAGUGCAGAAGAGGAAAGUGGAAUUCCAUGUGUAGCGGUGAAAUGCGCAGAGAUAUGGAGGAACACCAGUGGCGAAGGCGACUUUCUGGUCUGUAACUGACGCUGAUGUGCGAAAGCGUGGGGAUCAAACAGGAUUAGAUACCCUGGUAGUCCACGCCGUAAACGAUGAGUGCUAAGUGUUAGGGGGUUUCCGCCCCUUAGUGCUGCAGCUAACGCAUUAAGCACUCCGCCUGGGGAGUACGACCGCAAGGUUGAAACUCAAAGGAAUUGACGGGGACCCGCACAAGCGGUGGAGCAUGUGGUUUAAUUCGAAGCAACGCGAAGAACCUUACCAAAUCUUGACAUCCUUUGACAACUCUAGAGAUAGAGCCUUCCCCUUCGGGGGACAAAGUGACAGGUGGUGCAUGGUUGUCGUCAGCUCGUGUCGUGAGAUGUUGGGUUAAGUCCCGCAACGAGCGCAACCCUUAAGCUUAGUUGCCAUCAUUAAGUUGGGCACUCUAAGUUGACUGCCGGUGACAAACCGGAGGAAGGUGGGGAUGACGUCAAAUCAUCAUGCCCCUUAUGAUUUGGGCUACACACGUGCUACAAUGGACAAUACAAAGGGCAGCGAAACCGCGAGGUCAAGCAAAUCCCAUAAAGUUGUUCUCAGUUCGGAUUGUAGUCUGCAACUCGACUACAUGAAGCUGGAAUCGCUAGUAAUCGUAGAUCAGCAUGCUACGGUGAAUACGUUCCCGGGUCUUGUACACACCGCCCGUCACACCACGAGAGUUUGUAACACCCGAAGCCGGUGGAGUAACCUUUUAGGAGCUAGCCGUCGAAGGUGGGACAAAUGAUUGGGGUGAAGUCGUAACAAGGUAGCCGUAUCGGAAGGUGCGGCUGGAUCACCUCCUUU